AGUCAUAUGCUUGUCUCAAAGAUUAAGCCAUGCAUGUCUCAGUACAAGCCAAAUUAAGGUGAAACCGCGAAAGGCUCAUUAAAUCAGUUAUGGUUCCUUAGAUCGUACCCACAUUUACUUGGAUAACUGUGGUAAUUCUAGAGCUAAUACAUGCAAACAGAGCUCCGACCGGAGACGGAAGGAGCGCUUUUAUUAGAUCAAAACCAAUCGGUGGCGGGUUCGCCCGUCAUCGUACAUUUUGGUGACUCUGAAUAACUUUUUGCUGAUCGCACGGUCUCGCACCGGCGACGCAUCUUUCAAAUGUCUGCCUUAUCAACUGUCGAUGGUAGGUUCUGCGCCUACCAUGGUUGUAACGGGUAACGGGGAAUCAGGGUUCGAUUCCGGAGAGGGAGCCUGAGAAACGGCUACCACAUCCAAGGAAGGCAGCAGGCGCGCAAAUUACCCACUCCCGGCACGGGGAGGUAGUGACGAAAAAUAACGAUACGGGACUCAUCCGAGGCCCCGUAAUCGGAAUGAGUACACUCUAAACCCUUUAACGAGGAUCAAUUGGAGGGCAAGUCUGGUGCCAGCAGCCGCGGUAAUUCCAGCUCCAAUAGCGUAU
This 601-nucleotide ribosomal RNA is filed under the name Hydrochus group 4 sp. AHG-2011. RNAcentral describes it as "SSU rRNA". It matches the Rfam family "Eukaryotic small subunit ribosomal RNA", at positions 22 to 602 of the family's 1831-position model. Lineage: Eukaryota; Metazoa; Arthropoda; Insecta; Coleoptera; Hydrochidae. The record is from RNAcentral.